This 914-nucleotide ribosomal RNA is filed under the name uncultured Dysgonomonas sp. RNAcentral describes it as "bacterial SSU rRNA". It matches the Rfam family "Bacterial small subunit ribosomal RNA", at positions 521 to 1438 of the family's 1533-position model. The record is from RNAcentral. Lineage: Bacteria; Pseudomonadati; Bacteroidota; Bacteroidia; Bacteroidales; Dysgonomonadaceae.
UGAUACGGAGGAUGCGAGCGUUAUCCCGAUUUAUUGGGUUUAAAGGGUGCGCAGGCGGGAUUUUAAGUCAGCGGUGAAAUUUUCAGGCUCAACCUGAACACUGCCGUUGAAACUGGGAUUCUUGAGUAUGGAUGAAGUAGGCGGAAUUCGUUGUGUAGCGGUGACAUGCUUAGAUAUAGCGAGGAGCUCCGAUUGCGUAGGCAGCUUACUAAGCCAUAACUGACGCUCAAGCACGAAAGCGUGGGGAUCAAACAGGAUUAGAUACCCUGGUAGUCCACGCCGUAAACGAUGAUUACUAGUUGUUUGCGAUAUACCGUAAGUGACUAAGCGAAAGCGAUAAGUAAUCCACCUGGGGAGUACGCCGGCAACGGUGAAACUCAAAGGAAUUGACGGGGGCCCGCACAAGCGGAGGAACAUGUGGUUUAAUUCGAUGAUACGCGAGGAACCUUACCCGGGCUUGAAAUGUACCUGACCGUCCUUGAAAGGGGACUUCUAGCAAUAGCAGGUAUGUAGGUGCUGCAUGGUUGUCGUCAGCUCGUGCCGUGAGGUGUCGGCUUAAGUGUCAUAACGAGCGCAACCCACAUUAUUAGUUACUAACAGGUCAUGCUGAGGACUCUAAUAAGACUGCCGUCGUAAGAUGCGAGGAAGGUGUGGAUGACGUCAAAUCAGCACGGCCCUUACGUCCGGGGCGACACACGUGUUACAAUGGGAGGUACAAAGGGCUGCUACCUGGUGACAGGAUGCUAAUCCCCAAAGCCUCUCCCAGUUCGGAUCGGAGUCUGCAACUCGACUCCGUGAAGCUGGAUUCGCUAGUAAUCGCGCAUCAGCCAUGGCGCGGUGAAUACGUUCCCGGGCCUUGUACACACCGCCCGUCAAGCCAUGGGAGCCGGGGGUAUCUGAAGUGCGUAACCGCA